This 45-nucleotide non-coding RNA is filed under the name Schistosoma mansoni. The record is from RNAcentral. Lineage: Eukaryota; Metazoa; Platyhelminthes; Trematoda; Strigeidida; Schistosomatidae.
AUCAAGCUGACGAGUCUCAAAUAGGACAAAACGUGCGUUCCGGAU